This 493-nucleotide long non-coding RNA is filed under the name Manihot esculenta (cassava). Its description in RNAcentral is "long non-coding RNA (MESC_LNC008503)". The record is from RNAcentral. Lineage: Eukaryota; Viridiplantae; Streptophyta; Magnoliopsida; Malpighiales; Euphorbiaceae.
AAGUUCAGACAUUGAAACGUAAGGCCUUCUUACUGCAUACAGUUGCAUGAUGUUUCUGGUAAUCCCUCUGUAACAGUUGUUAAAUAUCUCUUAUCGCAGCUCAAUUGGGAAGCCCUUUUGGAAUGCAACAAAAAUAUCCAAGAAAUCCUGCAUACAAGAACGCAGGUAAAUUGGUGACUCUGGGUCAGUUUCUGGAAUUAGCGAAAACCAAGGCAGCAUAUGGAAUAUUAAUCAACAUAGAGGUAAGCAUUUCUUCUUUUCACUUCACAUGGAAAAUUGAUGUGAUUCAUUCAAAUUGCUACCCUGCUAUGCUUACAAAUAUGUACCUGCAGAAUGCUGCUUACCUAGCUGCAAAGAAGGGUCUUGAUAUAAUCGGCGCCGUUAACGCUGCCUUGAGCAAAGCCUCUUUGGACAAGGAGUCAACACUACAAGUCCUAAUCCAAUCAGAUGACACUUCAGUAUUGUCCAAAUUUAAGACUGUCCCCUCAUACCA